RNAcentral lists this ribosomal RNA (323 nucleotides) under uncultured eukaryote. RNAcentral's name for it is "partial 18S ribosomal RNA". It matches the Rfam family "Eukaryotic small subunit ribosomal RNA", at positions 1470 to 1796 of the family's 1831-position model. The record is from RNAcentral.
CCCUUAGAUGUUCUGGGCCGCACACGCGCUACACUGAAGGAGGCAGCGUGUACUCCUGGAUCGAAAGAUUUGGGUAACCCGCGAAUCUCCUUCGUGCUAGGGAUUGAGGUUUGCAAUUAUCCUUCAUGAACGAGGAAUUCCCAGUAAGUGCAAGUCAUAAGCUUGCGCUGACUACGUCCCUGCCCUUUGUACACACCGCCCGUCGCACCUACCGAUCGAAGGUAAUGAUGAGCCCUCAGGAUUGGCGCUUGGAUCGGGCAACCGAACCUUGCACCGAGAAUCUGUGCAAAUCCCUACCUUUAGAGGAAGGUGAAGUCGUAACA